This 810-nucleotide ribosomal RNA is filed under the name uncultured bacterium. RNAcentral describes it as "bacterial SSU rRNA". It matches the Rfam family "Bacterial small subunit ribosomal RNA", at positions 8 to 796 of the family's 1533-position model. The record is from RNAcentral.
AGAGUUUGAUCCUGGCUCAGAACGAACGCUGGCGGCGUGGAUAAGACAUGCAAGUCGAGCGGGAUUUUUUCUUGUAGCAAUACAGGGAAAAGUCUAGCGGCGAACGGGUGCUUAACACGUGGGCAACCUGCCAAGAAGUGGGGGAUAGCUCGCCGAAAGGCGAAUUAAUACCGCAUGUGAUCAGAGUGGACAUCCAUUCAAAAUCAAAGUCGGGGCAACCUGACGCUUCUUGAGGGGCCCGCGGCCUAUCAGCUAGUUGGUGGGGUAACGGCCCACCAAGGCUUAGACGGGUAGCUGGUCUGAGAGGACGACCAGCCACACUGGGACUGAGACACGGCCCAGACACCUACGGGUGGCAGCAGUCGAGAAUUUUUCUCAAUGGGGGAAACCCUGAAGGAGCGACGCCGCGUGGAGGAUGAAGGUCUUCGGAUUGUAAACUCCUGUCAUUGGGGAACAAUGCGCAAAUAUUAACUGUAUUUGCGUUGAUAGUACCCGAAGAGGAAGAGACGGCUAACUCUGUGCCAGCAGCCGCGGUAAUACAGAGGUCUCAAGCGUUGUUCGGAUUCAUUGGGCGUAAAGGGUGCGUAGGCGGCGCGGUAAGUCGGGUGUGAAAUCUCGGAGCUUAACUCCGAAACUGCAUUCGAUACUGCCGUGCUUGAGGACUGGAGAGGAGACUGGAAUUUACGGUGUAGCGGUGAAAUGCGUAGAUAUCGUAAGGAAGACCAGUGGCGAAGGCGGGUCUCUGGACAGUUCCUGACGCUGAGGCACGAAGGCCAGGGGAGCAAACGGGAUUAGAUACCCCAGUAGUCC